CCUACGGGAGGCAGCAGUGGGGAAUAUUGGGCAAUGGGCGCAAGCCUGACCCAGCAACGCCGCGUGAAGGAAUAAGGCUCUCGGGUUGUAAACUUCUUUUUAGAGGGAAGAGCAGAAGACGGUACCUCUUGAAUAAGCCACGGCUAGCUACGUGCCAGCAGCCGCGGUAAUACGUAGGGGGCAAGCGUAGUCCGGAUUUACUGGGGGUAAAGGGCGUGCAGCCGGGAAGACAAGUCAGAUGGGAAAUCCCGGGGCUCAACCGCGGAACUGCAGUUGAAACUGUUUUUCUUGAGUGCCGGAGAGGUCAGCGGAAUGCGUGGUGUAGCGGUGAAAUGCGUAGAUAUAAGGAAGAACACCAGUGGCGAAGGCGGAUGACUGGAGGGCAACUGACGGUGAGGCGCGAAAGCGUGGGGAGCAAACAGGAUUAGAUACCCGAGUAGUC
This 442-nucleotide ribosomal RNA is filed under the name uncultured bacterium. Its description in RNAcentral is "partial 16S ribosomal RNA". It matches the Rfam family "Bacterial small subunit ribosomal RNA", at positions 338 to 795 of the family's 1533-position model. The record is from RNAcentral.